AAGAUCCUAGUAUAACAAAAUACGUGACCCUGUCAGCAUCAAAAUAUAGUAAUCACCUAUGGAUCUUA
RNAcentral lists this transfer RNA (68 nucleotides) under Calotes mystaceus. RNAcentral's name for it is "tRNA-Asp". The record is from RNAcentral. Lineage: Eukaryota; Metazoa; Chordata; Lepidosauria; Squamata; Agamidae.